Molecule: non-coding RNA, 187 nt
Organism: Helianthus annuus (common sunflower)
Lineage: Eukaryota; Viridiplantae; Streptophyta; Magnoliopsida; Asterales; Asteraceae
Source: Rfam
GUAACCUGCAUGACAGAUCAAGGGUAGUAUCUGUUUUUAUCAGUUUAAUAUCUGAUACGUGGGCCAAUGGCUCACUUGAUAUUAAAUCUUAUUUUUUAUGGAGAAAGGUACAUUACAAUAGCUUGCUAUUGUGGCCUUUAAGCGUCGCCUUGCUCUUGCACUACUGUCUUGGCUUGGCGCACCCCUC